CAGUUAGUUGGUAGGGUAAUGGCCUACCAAGGCAAUGAUGCGUAGUCAGUCUGAGAGGAUGAAUGGCCACAAGGGAACUGAGACACGGUCCCUACUCCUACGGGAGGCAGCAGUGAGGAAUUUUCGGCAAUGGGGGAAACCCUGACCGAGCAAUACUACGUGAAGGAGGAAGGUCUACGGAUUGUAAACUUCUGUUAGCGCGGAAGAAGGGCUAAACGUGAGUUUAGUUUUGACGGUACGCGCAGAGAAAGCAACGACUAACUAUGUGCCAGCAGUCGCGGUAAGACAUAGGUUGCGAACGUUAUCCGGAAUUAUUGGGCGUAAAGGAUGCGUAGAUGGUGUAAUAAGUUAUCAGUGGUAAAUCGGGGCUCAACCUCGUGGAAGCUGGUAAUACUGUUAUGCUUGAGUGCAGGAGAGGUUAACGGAACUCCAUGUGGAGCGGUAAAAUGUGACGAUAUAUGGAAGAACACCAAUAAGGCGAAGGCAGUUAACUAUUCUGUUACUGACAUUGAGGCAUGAAAGCGUGGGGAGCAAAACGGAUU
RNAcentral lists this ribosomal RNA (542 nucleotides) under uncultured bacterium. RNAcentral's name for it is "SSU rRNA". It matches the Rfam family "Bacterial small subunit ribosomal RNA", at positions 242 to 779 of the family's 1533-position model. The record is from RNAcentral.